UGAAACAUCUAAGUACCUGGAGGAAGAGAAAGAAAAAUCGAUUUCCUGAGUAGCGGCGAGCGAAACGGAAAGAGCCCAAACCAAGAAGCUUGCUUCUUGGGGUUGUAGGACACUCUAUACGGAGUUACAAAAGAAAGUUAUAAAUGAAGCGGUCUGGAAAGGCCCGCCAAAGACGGUAACAGCCCGGUAGUUGAAAUGGCUUUCCCUCCAGAGUGGAUCCUGAGUACGGCGGAACACGUGAAAUUCCGUCGGAAUCCGGGAGGACCAUCUCCCAAGGCUAAAUACUCCCUAGUGACCGAUAGUGAACCAGUACCGUGAGGGAAAGGUGAAAAGCACCCCGGAAGGGGAGUGAAACAGUUCCUGAAACCGUGUGCCUACAAGUAGUUAGAGCCCGUUAAUGGGUGAUAGCGUGCCUUUUGUAGAAUGAACCGGCGAGUUACGAUUUGUUGCAAGGUUAAGCGGAAAAAGCGGAGCCGUAGCGAAAGCGAGUCUGAAUAGGGCGCAUAAGUAACAGGUCGUAGACCCGAAACCAGGUGAUCUACCCAUGUCCAGGAUGAAGGUAAGGUAAUACUUACUGGAGGUCCGAACCCACGCACGUUGAAAAGUGCGGGGAUGAGGUGUGGGUAGCGGAGAAAUUCCAAUCGAACUUGGAGAUAGCUGGUUCUCUCCGAAAUAGCUUUAGGGCUAGCCUCGAGGUAAAGAGUCAUGGAGGUAGAGCACUGUUUGGACUAGGGGCCCUUCUCGGGUUACCGAAUUCAGAUAAACUCCGAAUGCCAUGUACUUAUACUCGGGAGUCAGACUGCGAGUGAUAAGAUCCGUAGUCGAAAGGGAAACAGCCCAGACCACCAGUUAAGGUCCCCAAAUAUAUGUUAAGUGGAAAAGGAUGUGGGGUUGCUUAGACAACCAGGAUGUUGGCUUAGAAGCAGCCACCAUUGAAAGAGUGCGUAAUAGCUCACUGGUCGAGUGACCCCGCGCCGAAAAUGUACCGGGGCUAAACAUAUUA
RNAcentral lists this ribosomal RNA (1003 nucleotides) under Listeria monocytogenes. RNAcentral's name for it is "partial 23S ribosomal RNA". It matches the Rfam family "Bacterial large subunit ribosomal RNA", at positions 194 to 1193 of the family's 2925-position model. The record is from RNAcentral. Lineage: Bacteria; Bacillati; Bacillota; Bacilli; Caryophanales; Listeriaceae.